GAAAAAGAGACCGAAUAGGAUCCGGAAAAGAACUAAAAAUCAAAUGAAUGUGGUGAAAGAAGAAUGAAAAGAAGCAGAAAGUCACUUAGGACAAUGACCAAAGAAGUAUUGUGUUAUUUAAACGGCCAUUUCAUGAAAAAUCAUUGAAAACCACCAACCUGAUCCCCCAGAAUCAGUUUAUGUUUUUUAUUUUUAUUUUUUUUCAUGCAACACCUUUAUUAUUUUCAUUGAAGGCAUCUAGAAUUUACAUUUGUAACCUUUGCGAUGUUGUGCUUUCCUUUCCAGCAUUUUUAAUCCCGUAUAAGUUAUUUAUUGAUAGGAGAUAUUAUAUCCUAGCUGGUAUUUCAACAAAAAAUUAUAUGUGUAGUAUUUAAUUCUUAACAUUGUCCCCUUUUUAACCUGCCCGGCACCAUUUUAUUCCCUUCUAUUGAGAAACCGGAGAAAUUCUUGAAUUUACUGAAAUUUCCAGACUUUGUAAAGCUGCCCAGAGGGUUGGGUUGGACCCUUUGAUGGGAUGGUUGUAGCCCCACAACUCUCCCUUCUUCAAGAGAAAAAGGCAAUGAGCUGCUGUGAACGGAGACACUGGUUCUCACAGGCUGACACUUUGAGGUUAAAGAAAAAACCUGAAUCUACUCAAGUUUUAAUACCAUCAUCCGUUGGACAUUUCUAAUAAUCUGUGUGGGCUAGAUAAGCAGAAAUGUGUGCUGUGACAUCUGCGUCUCUCUGCUGGACUUUGCUCUCUGUCUGCAUCCUGUUCGUCUCUGCAGACCCGAUAAGCAUCACAGCUGAAUCUGGUCAAACUCUCACUCUACUGUGUCGAGCUCAAAGCAGAUCUGACAUAACAGACGGAAAUGUCUUGAAGUACCACGGUCAGCAACUUCUUCUAUCAUACCAGAAUCCAUCUUUUAAGAACCAGGUGGAUCUCCAGGACAGACAGAUGAAGGAUGGAGACGUGUCAUUGAUUCUGAAGGACAUGACGAUUAAUGACGCUGGAGCGUACGAGUGCCGUGUCAUGCAGAGAGGAAUAAACCAAGAGAAGCUCAUCAGCAGCAUCACACUGAGUGUUGUUGAUCCUCCAGGUGAGUGAGUAGAGUUGAGUGUGUGUGUGAUCAGAGGUGAAGCUGCUUCCUGGUUGUUGAUGUUUGUUUCUAAAGAUGUUGUUGAUGAGACUUUGUAGAAAGCAGCUGGUCUGAGUGAUGUGAUCAGAUGACAGUAGAUAAUGUCUGACAGCAGUUUGAAGAGGAAAUGGAUUCUGUUCUGUUCUUCACUCAUCACCUACCUGACAGCUGACACCUCACACCUGUUUCUCACCUGCAGCUCAGCAAGAUUUACCUGUUGGAGUGGUAAUCGGUGCGUCAGCAGGAGCUGUAGCUCUCCUUGCUUUGAAUGGGGGUGGUAUUUGGAUGCUUUCGUGAGCUAAAGAAAACACAAAGAGCAGUUUUAUCAGAAUUCAAACCAUCUUGCUGUUGAUCUGAAAAUUAAAACAAAUCAUUCAAUAACUGAACUGUGAGCUUUCUGUGCUUCUUGUCUGAGCAGUUAUACGUAGCCAUGGAUAUACAAUCA
This is a long non-coding RNA of Astatotilapia calliptera (eastern happy), 1563 nucleotides long. Lineage: Eukaryota; Metazoa; Chordata; Actinopteri; Cichliformes; Cichlidae. The record is from Ensembl.